UGAUGCUGAGCAUCUUUUCAUGUACAUUUUGGCCAUUCAUGUGUCUUCCUUGGAAAAGUAUCUGUUCAGAUCCUCUGCACAUUUUAAAAAUCAGAUUGUUUUGCUAUUAAGUUAUACGGGUUCUUAGUAUUUAUUGGAUAUUAACCUCUCAUCAGAUAUUUACAAAUAUAUUUUUUUCUAUUUAAUAUCUUGCCUUUUCAUUCUGCUUAUGGUUUCUUUUGCUGUGUAAAAACUUUUUUGUUGGAUGUAGUCCCACUUGUUUAUUUUUGCUUUUGUUGCCUUUGCUUUUGGAGACAGAUCCAGAAACUCAUUGCCAAGACCAACGUCAAGGAGCUUACCAACUACAUAUAGUUCUAGGAGUCUUAUGGUUUUAGGUCUUACAUUCAAGCCUUUAAUCCAGUUUAAGCUGAUUUCUGUGUAUGGUGUAAGAUAGUGGGCUAGUUUUGUUCUUUUGCAUGUGGCUGUUCAGUUUUCCUACCAUGAUUUAUUGAAAAGACCACCCUUUCCCCAUUGUGUAUUCUUGGUUCCUUUGUCUUAAGUUGAUUGAUUAUAUAAGUGGGGAUUUAUUUCUGGGCUUUCUAUUUUGUUUCUUUGAUCUAUGUGUCUGUUUUUAUGCCUCUGACAAACUGUUUUGAUUACUAUAGCUCUGUAAUGUUGUUUGAAACCAGGAGGGGUAAGGCUCCCAGCUUUGUUCUUCUCAAGAUUGCUUUUAUGUAUUCAUACGCACGUUAGGAUUGCUUCUUCUAUUUCUGCGAAAAAUGUUUUGGGAAUGUUGAUAGGGAUUACAUUGAAUCUGUAAAUUAUUUUGGCCGGUGUGGACAUUUUAACAAUAUUAAUUCUUCCAAUUCAUAAACAUGGAAUAUCUUUCCAUUUAUUUGUGAAUUCUUUGAUUUCUUUCAUCAGAGUGUUACAGUUUUCAGUGUACAGGUCUCCCACCACCAGGACCUACUUUCUUUUCUCUUGGCACCUGUCUGAGCUGUGGUGCCAGCUCCUGGCAGGGACUGGUUCCCACCUGGGCUAUAGGGUGUUUCCACUACCUCCUAAGCAGAAAGUUGGGAAGAGAUGCUGCCUUCAGCUCCCUCCUGGAGGCUGGAGGGUGUAGGCUCAGGGAUCAGGACACAAGCCACCUGGCAGGGGCCAUUUGGCACCGAUGCUCCAGGGUAUGGGCAGCUGAGCCAGGUGCUCUAAAAUCUUGUACGUAGUGCCAAGCCCUACCCUCAAGGAGUUUAUAUGUCAAAUGUCUUAGUUAUGUUACUGUUCCUCCCUGGGCUCCUCUCCCUCUGAGUGUGGCUGCUACUUGUUGUUACUAAGAGAUGAGAUCCUCUUUGUUUAGGGAAGGUCUUAGCACUGGACUUGGGGGAUCACAAGGAUUGAAUGGAACCCCAGGUCUGCCACUAAAUAAGCGUGUGGUCUUGAGCUAGUUAUUUGGUCUCUCUGAGACCCGGUUUUCUCAUCUGUGAAAUGAGAAGGAUAAUACCACCCCACGAGAUGGUUCUGAGGCUGUAACGUGAAGAUGCACAGAAAGCAUUUGAGAGCCACAGAGCAGUGGGUAUGUGAGAUGAGAUGCUGCCAUUCUUAGGGCAGAGACAAGGAGCAGAAGAGCCAAUCAGAUAGAUUGGCUACAACCCCUUGUCUCCUCUGUCUUUCCACACCUGCUCCUGGUCAGCAUCUCCAGCUGGUGCCGUGGACAUGAGCCCUUCCAGGUCCCGAACAGGCCUGUUCUCCUGUCUGAGCUGUGGCACCAGCUCCUGGCAGGGACUGGUUCUUCUUGAUGCUCUGGCCUUUUCAGUCCCCUCCUUUCUCCUCAAACUUACCUAUUCUCUGCUUCAGUCCUUUACAUUCCUGUGCCUCCAAUUAUUUCUUCUUGUAACAGACAAGUGUUUAUCGAGUGUCCUGAAGAAGGAAGCCUGGUGUAUUAGAAAGCACAUGACUUUGCACCUUUUGCCUUCCCCCCACCAGCCACGACUUUAGGCAAGUCCCUGGCAUUCCCUGAGCUUCCACUUCCUAAAAUAGAAAAUGGAGAUGACACCUAUGUCACAGGGUUGUUAGGAGGAUGCUGGGUGAUAAUGUGUGUGAAAACCAAAGCCAGGUGCUCAAUAAGCGUAGCUUCCUCCACAGCCUGUUUACUGUCAAUCAGAUAAACUUACCAAGUACCAAAGCAGUGGGAUAAUGAAGACUUACUAGGCUGCUCCUUUAUUUUUAUGUCUUUUUUUUUUUUUUUUUUUUCCUGAGAGUCAGACUCUCAACAUAUGGAAGUUCCCAGGCUAGGGGUCUAAUUGGAGCUGUAGCCAUGGGCCUACAUCACAGCCACAACAACGCAGGAUCCAAGCUGUGUCUUGGAUCUACACCACAACUCAGGGUGACGCCAGAUCCUUAACCCACUGAAUGGGGCCAGGGAUUCGAACCCACAUCUUCAAGGAUAUUAGUAGGGUUCAUUACCAUAAGCCACAGCGGGAACCCCUAGGCUGCUCUUUUAAAAAUAAAAGCAAAACAAAAACCCAGGCAUUUUAAUGGGAUCCUGGGAUCCACUGCAGAUCCUGGCCUACAAAAGCUGCUUGAAUAUUUGACCGAGCCACCAAGGCCACUCCUGGAUCUGAGCCAUGUCUGUGACCUACACCACAGCUCAUGGCAACGCCGGAUCCUUAACCCACUGAGCGAGGCCAGGGAUCGAACCCGCAACCUCAUGGUUCCUAGUCGGAUUCACUAACCACUGUGCCACGAUGGGAACUCCCAGAGUGGGAAGUAUUGAGAAAGAAGAAAUAGUAGAACUGGGUAGGUUGGAUCAGAGCGCCCGAUGGGGCAAGGGGAAGAGGCUGAACUGUUAAACAGGGUGUUCUGAGAAGCCUCCUUGAAAAGGUGAGAUUUAGCCAAGACUCAAAGACAGGGGACACGAUGUGGAGCUCACCUGCCCAGCUUGGGUGUGGGGUGGAGGAGCCAGGGGAAGGAGGCAGAUAGGGUGGCUGUGGAGAUCACCACAAGGACUUCAGCUUUUACUCUGGGAGAUGAGGGCAGCCACCAGUGGUUUUGAGGAGACAUCCAUCAGGAGAAGUAAUUCUCAUCUGCCAUGACACUUUGGGUAAAUCAGAUCAUCCUUCUGGCUGCACUUGCCUCAGGAGUAGGAUGACAUGCGUGAGAUGGUUGGCUUGGACAUUGCCAACCAUUCUCAACCCAGAGGUGUUAGAUGCAGACCAAAUCGAGCAAACUUCAUCAGUUCCUCUGUUCCCCAUAGGAAGUGCCAUGCUCCCUGGCGCAUGCUCAGUUUUCUGUCCUUUCCCCGUUGGCCCCAGAGGCAUUCCGGGUCCCCAGGUGCAUCUGGAAGUGAGAGCCCGUUGUGCCAGGAGAAUCGGCUGAGUUUCCUGCCACACCCAUGGGAGCUGAGUACAACUCCUCCAAGGCAAUCACCUUUCCUGGCAGGGACCAGCAGUAGAGCCGUUUCCCAUGGCGAGGCAAGCCUGUGGCCUGCCCCCAGCAACCCCUGCCAUGCUGGCGGGAUUAGGAGAGGAGAGAAAACGAGUGACAGGCCUGGACGGGCCCCUCUGGGAGGGAAACAGGUAGUGUCCCUUCCUGGGCAGUGUGGUGGGAUUGGGGUACAGCAUCGGCAAUGGGCAUCUGUUUCACGCUGAGGGUACCAGACACAAGCACCUCAGCCAGGAGAGAGCGGGCUUCCUCGCCUGAUUGCAGCGAGCAGCUGCCAGAGACUCUUUCAAUACAGGAUUGUCAGGAGGAAUUUCCCUUUUUGUCAGAAGGAGUAUGAAAGCAAGAGCGGGGCUCAGGGCCCCUUCUCCUUCUCUGUCUCCUUGCCCAGCGCUGUCUAUGAUUCCGUGUGCUUCAGGCCUUCAACCAACCAUCACCUUCCCUCAUCCUCCAUCCCCAGCCAGCAGGUCCCAUUCGCCAAAUUUCCAGAGCUGGAAAUAAACCCAACCUAGAGACUUGUUGGAAAUAAAAAAAUGUCAUCCAGCCAAGCGCUUUCAAUUGCACAGCCUUCAGUGGGCAUGGCUGCUGGGCUGCACGAGAAUAGAAUCAAGUUGUAGGAACAGGUUACCUGCUGAGAUGGGUGCACUUGUGGCUUUCCACCAGCACAGGCCAACAUCUUUGCCAGGGGUAUUUCGAAAAUCCGGUUGGUUAUUGGAGUUCCCGUCGUGGCUCAGCAGUAACGAACCCGACUGGUAUCCACGAGGAUGUGGAUUCAAUCCCUGGCCUUGCUCAGUGGGUUAAGGAUCCCACAUUGCCAUGGCUAUAGAGUAGGCCAGCAGCUGUAGCUCCGAUUGGACCCCUAGCCUGGGAACCUUCAUGUGCUAAGGGUGCAACCCUAAAAAGCACCCCCCACCCCCAAAAAAUAAAAUCAGGUUUUUGGAGUUCUCCUGUGGAGCAGUGGGUUAAAGAUCCAGCAUUGUCCCUGUAGUGGCUUGGGUUGCUCCUGUGGCAUGGGUUCCAUCCUUGGCCUGGGGACUUCCACAUGCCACAGCUAUGG
RNAcentral lists this long non-coding RNA (4471 nucleotides) under Sus scrofa (pig). Its description in RNAcentral is "lncRNA (ENSSSCG00040013539.1)". Lineage: Eukaryota; Metazoa; Chordata; Mammalia; Artiodactyla; Suidae. The record is from RNAcentral.